AGGGGUCAGGAGUAAACAACUUAUUUACUGAUAUUUCCCGAACAUCAGCCAGCACCUUUCCAUGAACAAAUUUCUAAUGUGUCCAUUACUGUGGUCGCUAUCUGACAAACGAGGGUUGGAGGAGUACCUGGCGGGGCUGGUGUGCAGAGGCUACUGCCUAUGAUGCUGACCAAUAGCCUCUCAUGGUUUCCUUGUACUCCCUCAUCUGCCGGGUUUCCUGACGGUGGAAAGAACAGGAAGCAAAAAUGCUGAAGCAGUGCCACAGAAAAGCUGCUUUUACAGCACUUCUGACUUGGCUGAAAUCAGAUUCCUUAUCAAGGCCGUAUCUCAGUGUUCUAGUCUGGAGGUUCUGGAAGGCACUCCAAGCCCCUUCAGCAAGGUGAAAUCAAAGCUGUGUGAAAUCGACUGAUAAGUUGGAGAAGCCAUAAGAACUACGAAAACAAGGGUUUUUUUUGUGUUGUUUUGUUUUUUGCAAGAGAAGCCCCAUAAACAUAUUUCCCAUUAUCUGCUUACAGUAGCUAAUGCAAGACAGAAUGCUCUCUAUCGUGUUUGGAGGAGUAGUCUAUAUACCCCCUAGAUCAGAGGUUCCAGGACCCUUCGGGGGGGGGGGGCACUCCCAGCCCUGCCCACACCCCUAGCUGUGGCCCUAGCCUCGGCCCCCUUACUCCUGUCUGCAUCCCUUCCCCCAUAAGCCGUGGCACCACUCCUGGCCCCGACUGGGAGGAGCAAGGACAGGAUAGGGCUGCUAACUUUCUAUCGUACAAAACCGAACACCCCUGCCCCGCUCCCUUCCCCGAGGCCUUGCCCCUGCCCCACCCCUCCUCUGAGGUCCUGUCCCCACUUGCUCCAUCCCCCUCCCUCCGUCGCUCAUCUUCCCCCACCCUCACUCACUUUCACUGGGCUGGAGCAGGAGGUUGGAGCUACUUCAUACUCAAAGAUCUGUGGUGAGAAUUUG
Long non-coding RNA from Mauremys reevesii (Reeves's turtle), 955 nucleotides. RefSeq lists it as uncharacterized. The record is from RefSeq and is a predicted model, not a curated record. NCBI's taxonomy places the organism in Eukaryota, Metazoa, Chordata, Testudines, Geoemydidae. The transcript is spliced from 3 exons.